UACUGCAUCAGGAACUGAUUGGAUAAGAAUCAGUCACCAUCAGUUCCUAAUGCAUUGCC
RNAcentral lists this microRNA precursor (59 nucleotides) under Callithrix jacchus (white-tufted-ear marmoset). RNAcentral's name for it is "Cja-Mir-217-v1_pre stem-loop". The record is from RNAcentral. RNAcentral also lists the same sequence under 4 other names. Lineage: Eukaryota; Metazoa; Chordata; Mammalia; Primates; Cebidae.